UACGUAGGGUGCGAGCGUUUGUCCGGAAUUAUUGGGCGUAAAGAGCUCGUAGGCGGUGUGUCGCGUCGGCCGUGGAAAACCUGGGGCUCAACCCCGGGCCUGCAGCCGAUACGGGCGAGCUAGAAUUCGGUAGGGGAGACUGGAAUUCCUGGUGUAGCGGUGAAAUGCGCAGAUAUCAGGAGGAACACCGGUGGCGAAGGCGGGUCUCUGGGCCGAUAUUGACGCUGAGGAGCGAAAGCGUGGGGAGCGAACAGG
RNAcentral lists this ribosomal RNA (255 nucleotides) under uncultured bacterium. RNAcentral's name for it is "partial 16S ribosomal RNA". It matches the Rfam family "Bacterial small subunit ribosomal RNA", at positions 524 to 776 of the family's 1533-position model. The record is from RNAcentral.